RNAcentral lists this ribosomal RNA (253 nucleotides) under uncultured prokaryote. RNAcentral describes it as "partial 16S ribosomal RNA". It matches the Rfam family "Bacterial small subunit ribosomal RNA", at positions 525 to 777 of the family's 1533-position model. The record is from RNAcentral.
ACAGAGGGGGCAAGCGUUAUUCGGAAUUAUUGGGCGUAAAGGGCGCGUAGGCGGCUUUUCAAGUGACGGGUGAAAUCCCUCGGCUUAACCGAGGAACUGCCUGUCAGACUGGAAGGCUUGAGACCGGGAGAGGUGAGUGGAAUUCCCAGUGUAGCGGUGAAAUGCGUAGAUAUUGGGAGGAACACCAGUGGCGAAGGCGGCUCACUGGACCGGAACUGACGCUGAGGCGCGAAAGCGUGGGGAGCAAACAGGA